CAUGUCUUUUUGAUUAUAAUUUAAGGUUUAAUCUGCUCAAUGAGGAUUUAAAUUGCCGCGGUAUUUUGACCGUGCAAAGGUAGCAUAAUAAUUAGUUUUUUUAUUGAAAGCUGGAAUGAAUGAUUGGACGAGAAAGCUACUGUCUCUAUUUAAUUUAUUUUUUAAUUUUACUUUUAAGUAAAAAGGCUUAAAUUUUUUUUAAAGACGAGAAGACCCUAUAGAGUUUAAUAUUUAAUUUAGUUUUGUUUUCUUGGGAUUAAAUGUAAUUUAAGAUUAUUUUAUCUAUUUUGUUGGGGUGACUGGAAGAAUUAAAAAACUCUUCUAUAUUAAAAUCAAAGAUUUUUGAAUUGGUUAUCUAAUUUUUUUAAAUUUAAUACAAAUUACCUUAGGGAUAACAGCGUAAUUUCUUUUUAGAGUUCUUAUUGAAAUUGAAGUUUGCGACCUCGAUGUUGGAUUAAAAUUUAUUUUUGGUGCAGAAGCUUAAAAAUUGAGUCUGUUCGACUUUUAAAAUUUUACAUGAUCUGAGU
RNAcentral lists this ribosomal RNA (527 nucleotides) under Mulsanteus sp. UPOL 001414. RNAcentral describes it as "partial 16S ribosomal RNA". The stretch from base 391 to 527 matches the Rfam family "Bacterial large subunit ribosomal RNA", at positions 2473 to 2610 of the family's 2925-position model. The record is from RNAcentral. Lineage: Eukaryota; Metazoa; Arthropoda; Insecta; Coleoptera; Elateridae.